This 25-nucleotide non-coding RNA is filed under the name Rattus norvegicus (Norway rat). Lineage: Eukaryota; Metazoa; Chordata; Mammalia; Rodentia; Muridae. The record is from RNAcentral.
UCACCAUAUGAAUUGGGGUGUAUCU